AGUGAACGCUGGCGGUAGGCCUAACACAUGCAAGUCGAACGGCAGCACAGUAAGAGCUUGCUCUUACGGGUGGCGAGUGGCGGGCGGGUGAGGAAUACAUCGGAAUCUACUUUUUCGUGGGGGAUAACGUAGGGAAACUUACGCUAAUACCGCAUACGACCUACGGGUGAAAGCAGGGGAUCUUCGGACCUUGCGCGAUUGAAUGAGCCGAUGUCGGAUUAGCUAGUUGGCGGGGUAAAGGCCCACCAAGGCGACGAUCCGUAGCUGGUCUGAGAGGAUGAUCAGCCACACUGGAACGGAGACACGGUCCAGACUCCUACGGGAGGCAGCAGUGGGGUAUAUUGGACAAUGGGCGCAAGCCUGAUCCAGCCAUACCGCGUGGGUGAAGAAGGCCUUCGGGUUGUAAAGCCCUUUUGUUGGGAAAGAAAAGCAGCAGGUUAAUACCCCGCUGUUCUGACGGUACCCAAAGAAUAAGCACCGGCUAACUUCGUG
RNAcentral lists this ribosomal RNA (492 nucleotides) under uncultured bacterium. RNAcentral's name for it is "partial 16S ribosomal RNA". It matches the Rfam family "Bacterial small subunit ribosomal RNA", at positions 29 to 507 of the family's 1533-position model. The record is from RNAcentral.